Molecule: small nuclear RNA, 108 nt
Organism: Rattus norvegicus (Norway rat)
Lineage: Eukaryota; Metazoa; Chordata; Mammalia; Rodentia; Muridae
Source: Ensembl
AUGCUCAUUUUGGUAGCACAAAUACUAAAAUUGAAACUAUACAGAAAAGAUCAACAUGGCCCCUGUGUGAAGAUAACAACACAAAUGUAUGAAGCAUCCCAUAUUUUU